RNAcentral lists this ribosomal RNA (227 nucleotides) under uncultured Bacteroidaceae bacterium. RNAcentral's name for it is "partial 16S ribosomal RNA". It matches the Rfam family "Bacterial small subunit ribosomal RNA", at positions 383 to 607 of the family's 1533-position model. The record is from RNAcentral. Lineage: Bacteria; Pseudomonadati; Bacteroidota; Bacteroidia; Bacteroidales; Bacteroidaceae.
CUGAACCAGCCAAGUAGCGUGAAGGAUGACUGCCCUAUGGGUUGUAAACUUCUUUUAUAUGGGGAUAAAGUAUUCCACGUGUUGGAUUUUGUAUGUACCAUAAGAAUAAGGAUCGGCUAACUCCCUGCCAGCAGCCGCGGUAAUACGGAGGAUCCGAGCGUUAUCCGGAUUUAUUGGGUUUAAAGGGAGCGUAGGUGGAUUGUUAAGUCAGUUGUGAAAGUUUGCGG